Dunckerocampus dactyliophorus (ringed pipefish) is the source of this 94-nucleotide small nucleolar RNA. RefSeq annotates it as small nucleolar RNA U83B. NCBI's taxonomy places the organism in Eukaryota, Metazoa, Chordata, Actinopteri, Syngnathiformes, Syngnathidae. The record is from RefSeq and is a predicted model, not a curated record. The transcript has a single exon.
UGUUGUCGAUGACGAGACCAUGGAACUCUGCGUCAGGCAUGGCGCCUGAUACCGAUGAGGAUACCUUCCACGCUGCCUUCCUUCUGAGACUGCC